Molecule: ribosomal RNA, 465 nt
Filed under: uncultured bacterium
Lineage: Bacteria
Description: bacterial SSU rRNA
Rfam family: Bacterial small subunit ribosomal RNA
Source: RNAcentral
CCUACGGGCCGCAGCAGUGGGGAAUAUUGCACAAUGGGCGCAAGCCUGAUGCAGCCAUGCCGCGUGUGUGAAGAAGGCCUUCGGGUUGUAAAGCACUUUCAGCGGGGAGGAAGGCGGUGAGGUUAAUAACCUCACCGAUUGACGUUACUCGCAGAAGAAGCACCGGCUAACUCCGUGCCAGCAGCCGCGGUAAUACGGAGGGUGCAAGCGUUAAUCGGAAUCACUGGGCGUAAAGCGCACGCAGGCGGUCUGUCAAGUCGGAUGUGAAAUCCCCGGGCUCAACCUGGGAACUGCAUCCGAAACUGGCAGGCUAGAGUCUUGUAGAGGGGGGUAGAAUUCUAGGUGUAGCGGUGAAAUGCGUAGAGAUCUGGAGGAAUACCGGUGGCGAAGGCGGCCCCCUGGACAAAGACUGACGCUCAGGUGCGAAAGCGCGGGGAGCAAACAGGAUUAGAUACCCGAGUAGUC